Molecule: ribosomal RNA, 254 nt
Filed under: uncultured bacterium
Lineage: Bacteria
Description: partial 16S ribosomal RNA
Rfam family: Bacterial small subunit ribosomal RNA
Source: RNAcentral
UACGUAGGCAGCGAGCGUUGUUCGGAGUUACUGGGCGUAAAGAGUGCGUAGGCGGUUUUCUAAGUUUGGUGUGAAAUCUCCCGGCUUAACUGGGAGGGUGCGCCGAAAACUGGAAGGCUUGAGUAUGGGAGAGGUAAGCGGAAUUCCUGGUGUAGCGGGUGAAAUGCGUAGAUAUCAGGAGGAACACCUGCGGUGUAGACGGCUUACUGGACCAUAACUGACGCUGAGGCACGAAAGCGUGGGUAGCAAACAGG